UGCAGAUUGAGUAUUUUGGUGCUAGU
This 26-nucleotide non-coding RNA is filed under the name Mus musculus (house mouse). Lineage: Eukaryota; Metazoa; Chordata; Mammalia; Rodentia; Muridae. The record is from RNAcentral.